RNAcentral lists this ribosomal RNA (301 nucleotides) under uncultured bacterium. RNAcentral describes it as "partial 16S ribosomal RNA". It matches the Rfam family "Bacterial small subunit ribosomal RNA", at positions 509 to 809 of the family's 1533-position model. The record is from RNAcentral.
CAGUCGCCGCGGUAAUACGUAGGGUGCGAGCGUUAAUCGGAAUUACUGGGCGUAAAGCGUGCGCAGGCGGUUUUGUAAGACAGGCGUGAAAUCCCCGGGCUCAACCUGGGAAUGGCGCUUGUGACUGCAAAGCUAGAGUGCGGCAGAGGGGGAUGGAAUUCCGCGUGUAGCAGUGAAAUGUGCAGAUAUGCGGAGGAACACCGAUGGCGAAGGCAAUCCCCUGGGCCUGCACUGACGCUCAUGCACGAAAGCGUGGGGAGCAAACAGGAUUAGAUACCCCCGUAGUCCCUGUCUCUUAUAA